GAUGAACGCUAGCGGGAGGCCUAAUACAUGCAAGUCGAGCGGUAGAGUGACUUCGGUUGCUUGAGAGCGGCGAACGGGUGAGUAACGCGUACACAAUCUACCUUUAAGAGGGGAAUAGCCCUGGGAAACUGGGAUUAAUGCCCCAUGGCAUCACGAGACGGCAUCGUUUUGUGAUUAAAGCUGAGGUGCUUAGAGAUGAGUGUGCGUCUGAUUAGCUAGUUGGUGCGGUAACGGCGCACCAAGGCGACGAUCAGUAGGGGGCGUGAGAGCGUGGACCCCCACACGGGUACUGAGACACGGACCCGACUCCUACGGGAGGCAGCAGUAAGGAAUAUUGGUCAAUGGAGGAAACUCUGAACCAGCCAUCCCGCGUGCAGGAAGAAUGCCCUAUGGGUUGUAAACUGCUUUUAUCUGGGAAGAAAAGUCGGGAUUUAUCCUGAUCUGACGGUACCAGAGGAAUAAGCACCGGCUAACUCCGUGCCAGCAGCCGUAC
Molecule: ribosomal RNA, 493 nt
Filed under: uncultured bacterium
Lineage: Bacteria
Description: bacterial SSU rRNA
Rfam family: Bacterial small subunit ribosomal RNA
Source: RNAcentral